GUCGUUCGGGCUGCUAUACAUGCAGUCGAGCGAAUGGAUUAAGAGCUUGCUCUUAUGAAGUUAGCGGCGGACGGGGACAACACGUGGGUAACCUGCCCAUAAGACUGGGAUAACUCCGGGAAACCGGGGCUAAUACCGGAUAACAUUUUGAACCGCAUGGUUCGAAAUUGAAAGGCGGCUUCGGCUGUCACUUAUGGAUGGACCCGCGUCGCAUUAGCUAGUUGGUGAGGUAACGGCUCACCAAGGCAACGAUGCGUAGCCGACCUGAGAGGGUGAUCGGCCACACUGGGACUGAGACACGGCCCAGACUCCUACGGGAGGCAGCAGUAGGGAAUCUUCCGCAAUGGACGAAAGUCUGACGGAGCAACGCCGCGUGAGUGAUGAAGGCUUUCGGGUCGUAAAACUCUGUUGUUAGGGAAGAACAAGUGCUAGUUGAAUAAGCUGGCACCUUGACGGUACCUAACCAGAAAGCCACGGCUAACUACGUGCCAGCAGCAGCGGUAAUACGUAGGUGGCAAGCGUUAUCCGGAAUUAUUGGGCGUAAAGCGCGCGCAGGUGGUUUCUUAAGUCUGAUGUGAAAGCCCACGGCUCAACCGUGGAGGGUCAUUGGAAACUGGGAGACUUGAGUGCAGAAGA
This 636-nucleotide ribosomal RNA is filed under the name Bacillus anthracis (anthrax bacterium). RNAcentral's name for it is "bacterial SSU rRNA". It matches the Rfam family "Bacterial small subunit ribosomal RNA", at positions 32 to 655 of the family's 1533-position model. Lineage: Bacteria; Bacillati; Bacillota; Bacilli; Caryophanales; Bacillaceae. The record is from RNAcentral.